AUACGGAGGGUGCAAGCGUUAUUCGGAAUCACUGGGCGUAAAGGACGCGUAGGCGGGUUGGCAAGUCAGAUGUGAAAUCCUACAGCUUAACUGUAGAACUGCAUUUGAAACUGCUAACCUAGAGUAUGGGAGAGGGAGAUGGAAUUAGUGGUGUAGGGGUAAAAUCCGUAGAUAUCACUAGGAAUACCGAAAGCGAAGGCGAUCUCCUGGAACAUAACUGACGCUAAGGCGUGAAAGCGUGGGGAGCAAACAGGAUUAGAUACCCUAGUAGUCC
This 274-nucleotide ribosomal RNA is filed under the name uncultured bacterium. RNAcentral describes it as "partial 16S ribosomal RNA". It matches the Rfam family "Bacterial small subunit ribosomal RNA", at positions 523 to 796 of the family's 1533-position model. The record is from RNAcentral.